This 274-nucleotide long non-coding RNA is filed under the name Cavia porcellus (domestic guinea pig). RNAcentral's name for it is "lncRNA (ENSCPOG00000030065.1)". Lineage: Eukaryota; Metazoa; Chordata; Mammalia; Rodentia; Caviidae. The record is from RNAcentral.
AAUCAUCAUUUUUUUACUUUAGAGUUUCCUAUUCAGAUACUUUGCAUUGAUACUCUUGUCCAAGAAGCUAUCCAAGCAUUUCAUGACAAUGAAAAAGUCAGUGAGCACCCACCCAUUCAGAAAGAAGGUAGAGAGGCUCCAUCAGCUCUUCAGGACUCACACAGUGUAUCUUCAGCUGCUCCAGUUUCAGGUGAACCAUUACCAGAGACGCAAGGUGAAACUGCACCUAGUAAGUAAGAUACUGAAAAGAAUCAUCCAUCAUUUACAUUAGAGA